RNAcentral lists this transfer RNA (72 nucleotides) under Deltaproteobacteria bacterium. RNAcentral's name for it is "tRNA-Glu". It matches the Rfam family "tRNA". From Rfam's summary of the family: Transfer RNA (tRNA) molecules are approximately 80 nucleotides in length. Their secondary structure includes four short double-helical elements and three loops (D, anti-codon, and T loops). The record is from RNAcentral. RNAcentral also lists the same sequence under 1 other name. Lineage: Bacteria; Pseudomonadati; Myxococcota; Myxococcia.
GGCCCCAUCGUCUAGCGGUUAGGACAUCGGCCUCUCACGCCGGUAACACGGGUUCAAGUCCCGUUGGGGUCG